GAGAGUUUGAUCCUGGCUCAGGACGAACGCUGGCGGCGCGCCUAACACAUGCAAGUCGAACGAGCGAGAGAGAGCUUGCUUUCUCGAGCGAGUGGCGAACGGGUGAGUAACGCGUGAGGAACCUGCCUCAAAGAGGGGGACAACAGUUGGAAACGACUGCUAAUACCGCAUAAGCCCACGGCUCGGCAUCGAGCAGAGGGAAAAGGAGCAAUCCGCUUUGAGAUGGCCUCGUGUCCGAUUAGCUAGUUGGUGAGGUAACGGCCCACCAAGGCGACGAUCGGUAGCCGGACUGAGAGGUUGAACGGCCACAUUGGGACUGAGACACGGCCCAGACUCCUACGGGAGGCAGCAGUGGGGAAUAUUGCACAAUGGGGGAAACCCUGAUGCAGCGACGCCGCGUGGAGGAAGAAGGUCUUCGGAUUGUAAACUCCUGUUGUUGGGGAAGAUAAUGACGGUACCCAACAAGGAAGUGACGGCUAACUACGUGCCAGCAGCCGCGGUAAAACGUAGGUCACAAGCGUUGUCCGGAAUUACUGGGUGUAAAGGGAGCGCAGGCGGGAAGACAAGUUGGAAGUGAAAUCUAUGGGCUCAACCCAUAAACUGCUUUCAAAACUGUUUUUCUUGAGUAGUGCAGAGGUAGGCGGAAUUCCCGGUGUAGCGGUGGAAUGCGUAGAUAUCGGGAGGAACACCAGUGGCGAAGGCGGCCUACUGGGCACCAACUGACGCUGAGGCUCGAAAGUGUGGGUAGCAAACAGGAUUAGAUACCCUGGUAGUCCACACCGUAAACGAUGAUUACUAGGUGUUGGAGGAUUGACCCCUUCAGUGCCGCAGUUAACACAAUAAGUAAUCCACCUGGGGAGUACGACCGCAAGGUUGAAACUCAAAGGAAUUGACGGGGGCCCGCACAAGCAGUGGAGUAUGUGGUUUAAUUCGACGCAACGCGAAGAACCUUACCAAGUCUUGACAUCCCUUGACAGACAUAGAAAUAUGUAUUCUCUUCGGAGCAAGGAGACAGGUGGUGCAUGGUUGUCGUCAGCUCGUGUCGUGAGAUGUUGGGUUAAGUCCCGCAACGAGCGCAACCCUUAUGGUCAGUUACUACGCAAGAGGACUCUGGCCAGACUGCCGUUGACAAAACGGAGGAAG
Molecule: ribosomal RNA, 1143 nt
Filed under: uncultured Clostridia bacterium
Lineage: Bacteria; Bacillati; Bacillota; Clostridia
Description: bacterial SSU rRNA
Rfam family: Bacterial small subunit ribosomal RNA
Source: RNAcentral